ACCACUUACAAUUACAAACCCCUUUACAAGGCUGAAACAACACCAGUUUGUAGCACAUCUCCAUAGUGAACGUCUAAUAUAUGUUUACAAUGUGCAUUGUUUCAUAAGUAUCAUUGUAAUAAACUUAUGGCACAUGAAUUGACAUUCAGACUUUCUAGACAUAGGUCACAUGACACGUAAAACAGAGCAUCCCACCGAGAGAAAUACUGUUAAAAUGAAGAACGUAUUCAUUACACAUAUUACGGAUGGAACACAUUCUCUCAUGGGCCACCGUUUCCUAUUUCGACUUUCUUUAAAUAUAAGUGAUGAACAUGAUAAUUAUUCCACAGUAUCCAACUAGAGAAUAGAUGCUACAUAUACGCACAGUUUAAUAUUAGUAACUUAAUCCAGAACAAUUCAUUGAAAUACCACUUCAAACCGUUACAAAUAAUAUUAAGAUACUUCAACUUUCACGACGGCCCAAGCAGCCAAUUCCCACUAAUUAUAUAUCAUUAUCCACAGAAAAUGACAAAAGCAAACAUGAAAUCAGCGGCAAACACACACACACAAACAAGCAGCUAAUGGCUUUGUGAAAGUAACAACCAGUUUUGAUGUACUCACGAAUAUUUUUCCUGUCACUUUUUCUUCUGAAAGUAAUUCUCUAAGAAAUUAGGGUCCAAAUUUGUUAAAUGUAACUAUAAUUUUGGAGAAAAAAAUCUAAGCCAGGGUCCAUAAUUUACAUAAGAUGGGCCUGCUGUCACCAUAUUGUUUUCCUCAAUAACUCUUACAGAGAUGUUGUUAGAAGAAUAUAUACUAAUAUAUUUCAUAACAAAUGCGCAACUGUCAUUAAAACGAGAGCAAAUUUACAUCACCC
This 853-nucleotide long non-coding RNA is filed under the name Brassica napus (rape). RNAcentral describes it as "long non-coding RNA (BNAP_LNC012797)". Lineage: Eukaryota; Viridiplantae; Streptophyta; Magnoliopsida; Brassicales; Brassicaceae. The record is from RNAcentral.